This 492-nucleotide ribosomal RNA is filed under the name uncultured bacterium. RNAcentral describes it as "partial 16S ribosomal RNA". It matches the Rfam family "Bacterial small subunit ribosomal RNA", at positions 29 to 507 of the family's 1533-position model. The record is from RNAcentral.
AGUGAACGCUGGCGGUAGGCCUAACACAUGCAAGUCGAACGGCAGCACAGUAAGAGCUUGCUCUUACGGGUGGCGAGUGGCGGACGGGUGAGGAAUACAUCGGAAUCUACUUUUUCGUGGGGGAUAACGUAGGGAAACUUACUCUAAUACCGCAUACGACCUACGGGUGAAAGCAGGGGAUCUUCGGACCUUGCGCGAUUGAAUGAGCCGAUGUCGGAUUAGCUAGUUGGCGGGGUAAAGGCCCACCAAGGCGACGAUCCGUAGCUGGUCUGAGAGGAUGAUCAGCCACACUGGAACUGAGACACGGUCCAGACUCCUACGGGAGGCAGCAGUGGGGAAUGUUGGGCAAUGGGCGCAAGCCUGAUCCAGCCAUACCGCGUGGGUGAAGAAGGCCUUCGGGUUGUAAAGCCCUUUUGUUGGGAAAGAAAAGCAGCAGGUUAAUACCCCGCUGUUCUGACGGUACCCGAAGAAUAAGCACCGGCUCACUUCGUG